AGCGGAGGAAAAGAAACUAAACUAGGAUAGCCCCAGUAAUGGCGAAUGAACAGGCUAAAGCUCAAAGUGAAAAUCUGAAGUGGUCAACACAACAGAAUUGUAAUCUAAAGAGUCAACCUAAAGCUAAGCUCCUCGCAUAAGUUCCUUGGAACAGGACGUCAAAGAGGGUGACAACCCCGUAGUCGGUGAGGAAGGCUGGUGAAAGGGAGACUUCAAAGAGUCGGGUUGUUUGGGAUUGCAGCCCUAAGUGGGAGAUAAACUUCUUCUAAAGCUAAAUAUACACGGGAGACCGAUAGCGAACAAGUACUGCGAAGGAAAGAUGAAAAGAACUUUGAAAAGAGGGUUAAAAGACUUGAAACCGUUGAGAAGGAAGCUGUAGAAGAGCAAUAAACUGGACGGCGCAUAAGGGGGAAGUGUUACUCACUGCGGAGUCGAUACGAAAGGUCGAUGAGUAAGGAAAGGACACAGAACUUGCUACGCCGGUCGGAAGACAAAAUGAGUUCAGAUUGAAGGAGUCACCUGAGAUCGGGUAGCAAUACAGAUCAAAAGGGAAACUUCAGACUGGACUGAGGGGCCUAAGGGCGAUUUUGUCAAAAUGGCUUCUACUGACCCGUCUUGAAACACGGACCAAGGAGUCUAUCAAUUAAGCGAGUGAUAGGGUGGAAAAACCCGUCCGCGAAACGAAAGUGAGUACAAGGUGCCAAGCCGAAAGGUAGCAGCAUCACCCGACCUUGAGUCUCCGACGAAGGGUUCGAGGAAGAGCUUAAUUGUUAGGACCCGAAAGAUGGUGAACUACGCUUGAAUAGGGUGAAGCCAGGGGAAACUCUGGUGGAAGCUCGUAGCGAUACUGACGUGCAAAUCGUUCGUCAAAUKAUGAAGUGUAGGGGCGAAAGACUAAUCGAACCUUCUAGUA
RNAcentral lists this ribosomal RNA (913 nucleotides) under Tetrahymena sp. KGE15. Its description in RNAcentral is "eukaryotic LSU rRNA". It matches the Rfam family "Eukaryotic large subunit ribosomal RNA", at positions 49 to 949 of the family's 3401-position model. The record is from RNAcentral. Lineage: Eukaryota; Ciliophora; Oligohymenophorea; Hymenostomatida; Tetrahymenidae.